RNAcentral lists this long non-coding RNA (236 nucleotides) under Sorghum bicolor (sorghum). Its description in RNAcentral is "long non-coding RNA (SBIC_LNC001272)". Lineage: Eukaryota; Viridiplantae; Streptophyta; Magnoliopsida; Poales; Poaceae. The record is from RNAcentral.
GUGGAUAAUGAUGUCAACACUUUGCAUGGCGGGGUAAUGUAUUAGUGGGAUGAUUUAGUGGAUGUUGAUGUAGACGCUUUAUAUGGCAAUAGAGUUAGUUAGUGGGAUGCUCUAGUGGAUGAUGAUGUGGAUGCUUUGCAUGUCAAAAAAAUUAGCUAGUGGGGUUUAUCUAUAUAAGAGAUAAUAUUUUAGUAGGGGCUUUCACCCCUCGAGUUCCUUAAAAAAAAAGCAGUUGC